Molecule: long non-coding RNA, 966 nt
Organism: Ostrea edulis (European flat oyster)
Lineage: Eukaryota; Metazoa; Mollusca; Bivalvia; Ostreida; Ostreidae
Exons: 2
Source: RefSeq, a predicted model, not a curated record
GUUUAGAACUGUGUGCAUUUGUUUUGGAAGAAUUUGGGCUGUUUAGGCUAAAAUCCAUUAUGAUUGGACAGAAUAUGAACACACACAUCCAAUACUUCAAAGAUAUUAUGUUUGUGGAGGCAGAGAUUUUGAUUGCAUCCACUGUUUAGAAUACAUCCUUAAGGGAAGCAGACUGCCGCCUUUACCCAAUGAUAUAAUGAUUAAUCAUAACUAUAUCUGUUUUGUACCAAAUAGAAAGAGCAUUGAUUCAGGUCAUUUUCAAAUCCACUGGCAUACAUUGUACUAUACAUGCAACCUUUUCAAACUUUACAUUUAAGAUUUUAUAAAGGAAAUAUCUUAAUGUUUCACAUGUUUACCUUUCACUGUGCUAUGUAAUUCAUUAUACCUGCCAUUAUGCCAGUCUUCCUGAACAUAAUUUGUUUUCUGCAAUUUCAUUGGCCAAGAGGCUUAAUCCUGGGUUAUCAGAUUGAGCAUUUAUAUUUAGUAUCCCAUUGAUUUUGUCAGCCCUAUAUAAGGAGCUGACUCAGAUUUACUCACUCUGCUAGGUUAAAGAACUCUAAGGUUUGUACUUUUCACAUGAAUUUCGUGUUCGCCUCUUAUCUUUUACAUAGAGUAGGAAAUGAACAUAACAUUGAGUUAGGGAACUAUUUAGAUUUUACAUUAUAAUAUGUAAAUACCUUAGCAGAGUCAAUUUACUUGGUUCAGGGUAGUAUCAGAUAUUACUUUUUCAGAGUUUAAGUGUUUAGGCUAUCUCAAUGUUUCUAUAGUUAGCCUUGUCCUAUGUUACUUUUAGAUGUAUGGAAGCCUUUUAGUGUUAUAACACUAUAUUUAUGCCCCCAUUCAAAGAAGAGGGACAUAUUGGUUUGCACCUGUUGGUCGGUCGGUAGACCACAUGUUGUCCGCUUAAUAUCUUAAGAACCAUUCACUUGAUCGUAAUAUAUUUCAUAUGUGGGUUGGUUAUGAAAA